Molecule: ribosomal RNA, 490 nt
Filed under: uncultured bacterium
Lineage: Bacteria
Description: partial 16S ribosomal RNA
Rfam family: Bacterial small subunit ribosomal RNA
Source: RNAcentral
AUUGAACGCUGGCGGCAGGCCUAACACAUGCAAGUCGAACGGUAACAGGAAACAGCUUGCUGUUUCGCUGACGAGUGGCGGACGGGUGAGUAAUGUCUGGGAAACUGCCUGAUGGAGGGGGAUAACUACUGGAAACGGUAGCUAAUACCGCAUAACGUCGCAAGACCAAAGAGGGGGACCUUCGGGCCUCUUGCCAUCGGAUGUGCCCAGAUGGGAUUAGCUAGUAGGUGGGGUAACGGCUCACCUAGGCGACGAUCCCUAGCUGGUCUGAGAGGAUGACCAGCCACACUGGAACUGAGACACGGUCCAGACUCCUACGGGAGGCAGCAGUGGGGAAUAUUGCACAAUGGGCGCAAGCCUGAUGCAGCCAUGCCGCGUGUAUGAAGAAGGCCUUCGGGUUGUAAAGUACUUUCAGCGGGGAGGAAGGGAGUAAAGUUAAUACCUUGACCCAUUGACGUUACCCGCAGAAGAAGCACCGGCUAACUCCGUG